Molecule: ribosomal RNA, 1233 nt
Filed under: Triticum aestivum (bread wheat)
Lineage: Eukaryota; Viridiplantae; Streptophyta; Magnoliopsida; Poales; Poaceae
Description: partial small subunit ribosomal RNA
Source: RNAcentral
AUGCAUGCACUAGGGGAACCAGGCAACUUGACGUACGCAGUAGGUUGCCCUGCGUUCACUCUUGAGCUGCGGCAAGUCCAGUGGCCCAGCACGAAGAAUUUCAAGCCAGAUGUACCAGAGAAGUACGACGGCAAGUCGCAUCCGUCGGAGUUCCUCAGCAUCUACACCAUCGCGGUGCAAGCUGCCGGGGGGCGGGACGACAAGAUCCUGGCCAACCACUUCCCACUGGUGCUCAAGCCCAAUGUCAGAUCCUGGCUCAUGCACUUGCCGGACAACUCCAUAUCCUCCUGGGCAGACCUAUGCCAUCAGUUUGUCGGUGCCUUUACAGGCGGCCACAAGCCUCAUGGCCAAGAGAGCGACCUUCAUCUGCUCGCCCAGAAGGAAGGAGAACCCCUGCGCAAGUACAUUCAGAGAUUCAGCCGCGUACAGCACAACAUCCCAGAUGUCCACCCUACCGCGGUGAUCAGCGCGUUCCAUCAGAACGUGCGAAACUGCAGGAUGCAGGAGGAGAUGGCAAUGUGCAAAAUCAGAGACAUCAGUGAGCUAUAUGCCCUGGCCGACAAGUGUGCACGUGCUGAGGAAGGGAGGAAACUCCCCGGAGAGAAUACAGAAGCAGGAGGAUCUGAUAGUGAGGAGGCUGCCCCAGCAAAGAAAAACCGGCGGCGGAACAAUAGGAAGAAGAAAGGCAAAGAUGUGCUAGUCGUUGAGCAGUCCGGCAACGGAAGUGGCGCCAAGAAAGCCAAAGCUGGUAGCUCCGGCAAGGAGAUUACCGCAGGCACCAACUACCAGGUUGUGGCGGUCGCCGACAAGCAGGACGGCACCAACAAGCAGUACUGCAAGAUCCACCGCACCAAGGGCCAUGACCUCCAAAGCUACAAGAAGGUCGAGCAGCUUGUCGAGGAGCAAAAGGCUGAAUACGAGCGACGCGGCAAGGAGAGGGCCCAGGAAGGUGCUGGAGGAGCCGGCAAGAAAUGCCCCGGCCGAGGAGGACGCCACGGCAAGGCCAAGCAGCGGCAAGGAGACAGACCUCCCUGCGGCCGCGACAAGGAUGAAGAUGAUGACGAGAUGAAGAUAUGGAUGAUGACGAGACCGAUGAGCAGGAGUUCCAGAAAGCCACAGAGGUCCUGUGCGUUGACGGCGGUGCUUCUCUGCAUACUUCACACCGCCAGCUCAAGCAGUGGGUGCGGGAAGUCAAUGUGGCAGAACCACCUGUCGAGUCACGCAAGCCUCUGA